RNAcentral lists this ribosomal RNA (200 nucleotides) under uncultured bacterium. RNAcentral describes it as "partial 16S ribosomal RNA". It matches the Rfam family "Bacterial small subunit ribosomal RNA", at positions 30 to 228 of the family's 1533-position model. The record is from RNAcentral.
AUUGAACGCUGGCGGAAUGCUUUACACAUGCAAGUCGAACGGCAGCACGGGAGCUUGCUCCUGGUGGCGAGUGGCGAACGGGCGAGUAAUACAUCGGAACGUACCCAGUUAUGGGGGAUAACUAACCGAAAGGUUAGCUAAUACCGCAUACGCCCUGAGGGGGAAAGCGGGGGACCGUAAGGCCUCGCGUAAUUGGAGCG